AGUGAUCCCGUACCAGGAACAAUGGAAAAGGGUCGCUAAAAUAGAAAGCUAGAAUUGUGUCUGGCUUGCUGUCUCUGUAGCAGACUGCUAGGAGCCAUAUUCUCUGAGACUCCAAGCUUCUUUGCUGUGAUCCACAGUGCAUAUAACUCAGAGCCAGAGGAAGCAAAUAUGAAGUGGUCAGGCCGGACUCAUAAAGGGGGGUCCGGGGGUCCUCCCCCGGGAAAUUUUUUUGAAUGGUAUAUGAGGUUGCACCUAAAAUUUCUGAGACGGUGAAUGAUACCGGUUUGGAGAGGCACCAAUGUGAGGACACUGAAAGGAACUCAAUUACAGUUUGGUACGGCAAUGUUCCCCGGCAAGUCUAGACUUGUGAGUGCCGGUACCAGUGCAGCUAAUACCUUUCCCAGGCUUGCUAUAACAGUGAUAAAAGAAGGUCGCUUAUACAAAUUAACGUCAAAGAGGCAAAAAGGCAACUAAUCUAAAGGGUUUGAAGUUUCAGAAGAGAUACUGUGUGCUCUCACCCCACUCACUCGAGUACUAUGAGAGUAAAAAGUUAAUCAAGCAUAUUGAGAUGGGUCUUAGGCCCAACAAUACAUAUUUGGUUGAAGACAUCAAAAUAGUGGAGAAAGUGCCUUAUGAAACUUUUCGAAAACCACAUUGCUUUCAGAUCGGAAGUAAGGAAGAGGUCAUGUACUUCUGUGCUGGGUCUGAGGAACAUUGUCAACUCUGGAUCAAUGCAUUUAUUAAAGCUGCUUUUGAAAUGAGAGAGAACAAACGAGAGCCAUCAUACCACAACGGUGCUUUUGGACACACUAUGCACAACCGCUGGAGCUGUUGCAAACAGAAGGACAGAAAUGCUGAAGGGUGUGAGAGCAGCACGGCUUGUUCUGCCCAUGUGGAACUUCAAGAUGAAGAUACCGUAUCUCUAGAGAGCCUCGAGUUCAAUAAAGGAAUCGAUUAUAAGCCUGGUCUACUUGAUGCCGCCACUGACCGACACUAUUCAAUUCAGAGUGCAGAAAGUGGGUAUGGACAAUCACCAGCUAUUAGUCGCCAAGGCACUGCAGUCUCAGAUAGUGGUGAUCAAGUUUCUAAGAGGGUAUCGACUAGUCUACAAAUGGAUUCCAGGGAUUCUGGACUUCCAGUAAGCUGCCUGUGUACAUGGACUUGCAUGCAGUCAUUACAUCACAUUAGUUUUGCUCAGACUUCAGCCAUCAUGAUAAUUACUGAAGAGGACCUACCGAUACGUGUGAGUUAAGCCCCAAUUAUUAUAACACUCUAUUGUACGGGUGGCCGAUAGGGGUCACCCGCCUCUGCUUGCCGCCAACUAAUAUCGAGAGCGGUAAAUCAGUUACUGCCCGCGGCAAAGGGUCACCGCUCCAUUUAGCUGCGAGCGGUAAAUGAGUUACCGCCCGCGGCGAGGUCCAAAAGUAUCUGGUAAAGGUAUGUGUUUCUAAUAAGAGCACACCCAUGAUAUUCUAAUAAGAGCGCAUGGGGAUUUCAUCACUGUGACCCUGAGUACUAUGCAUGGUAUAGUACUCCAGGACUUACAAAUGAAAUCCCUGUGCAUAGUCUAUGCUUUGUGAAGGUCCUCUGGGAUGUGUAAUAAUUUAAAAGUUCUCCACACAGAUGCUGCAAACACAAGGUGCGCUCUUCGAGAUAUCUUGCGAUUUUUACCACUGGCGGCAAGGUUUUUAACCGCGGCGGUUCAUGAAGGCGGCCACUCAUUUACCGGUCGUGGAUAAAGUCGCUCUUUACCGCUCGCGGUAUUUUCGGAUGGGUUAAGGAGUCAACAUUCAUUUACCAUUCGCGGGUAGAGAAGGUGGCGACCCUUUAUCGCGCGCGGCAUAGGAGGGUGGCAAGCGGAGGCGGGUGACUUCUAUUGGCCACCAUACUAUUGCCUUUUGACCUCUGAGAUCAAAAGAAUAGUUGGCAAUAUGAUUAUGACAUAUUGCACUGUGGUCAGUCCUGUAUAAUUAUGACCGGCAGAAAGUUGACCUUUUGGUGAGUUUCCCACCUCCCAACCCAAACUGUCAAAUCAUUGCUUUUUAGUGACUUAUAUUAAAUGUCAUUCCUACAAAAGAUAUAAGGUGUACAAAAAAUUAUACAAGUAAAGGACAUGCAGUCUCUCUACUGUAUACGUUUUUAAUGAUAUUAUUGCUCUUAAAAAACUUAUAUACAUUUUUAAUGAUAUUAUAUUGCUCUUAAAAAACUUAUUUACAUGUGCAUGAAGUUACUGAAAGGGUUCUGUAUACUGAUAUCAUGCAGGCUGCAAGCAAGCACUCUCAUUCAAGUGAUUCGACUUCAAAGUAGUGUUUCGAAGAAUUUAUGACUCAGCCCAAAUAAACUUUUCGUAUAUAUACUAGCUAUAAUUACGAUCAUUUAAAACCUUAUAAUUAUGCACAUUGUAUUUGAUUUACACACUUUUAUUACAAUUAUAUAGUCGAUAAUUUGACUCGUUCACACAACCUGAUCGACAAAAGAAGCAAAAUCAAACUGGAACAGACUGUAGCGUAAAAAUAUUGUCCUUAAAAACAGCGACGAGAGACAAGAAUAUGUCAACAAAUGCAUGAUGGAGUCACUGCAUGUACAUGAGAGGUGAUGAUCAUAUAGAAAGAAAGAAGAACCGAAAGAAGGGUGGCUUGACAAGUUGUAUAACGUACUGACAGCUAGACAUGCAGACAGUUUAUGAGCAGUUCCCAAACAAGAACUACAUCAAACGUAGGAAGGCUGUGCUAUUCGAAGGGCAUCAAAAUGUGUUGAGGAUACAAUUCAGUACUGCAAACUUACCUGGAAAUUGGGGUCUUCAGUUAAGCAAACACAAGGAACCAGAUUACAGAAGGAGAACUUUGUUUCUGGGGCGAUCCUAUUAAGAGAGAUAUUAAAGAGCUCUGCAGAAUAGGGGUUUAUCCACCCAGAAUUCCUGUUCGUGUUACUUGUGGGGAGUUUGUGAGAGGAGGGGUGUUUACCACAAUCUCGUUCUCCGGAAUCUGUGGAAGAGUAGAAAGCGUUAGCAGGGAUUUCAACCUUGAAUUGACCAAGCCUCAACCAGCACUUGCUUCUCUCGGACUUGAUGAAUAUGAGAUUUUGAAAGACGAGUUACAAGAUAAACUUUAUGAAAAUGCAAAUAGUAUCAGCUGUGAACGACUGGCUUUAGCUUUGUAUUCAGAAUCGUCUAUUCAAAAAUGCCCAUACUUGGCCCAGGACAGCACAACUAGAAAGAAAAUUAAAUCAUUUGUUUCAAUUGCAAAACCAAAUGGGUGUUGUAUUUCAUUGAGUGAAGAUGAAAACUUUCGUGCUAACUAUGCGAUUCUCACAGAAGCUCUCGAUAUAGCAGAUACUAUAGAUCUUCACUACACAGAAGUGAUAAAGAAAGCAUUAGAACUAUCAAAAUCCAGAAAAGACAAAUCUGGAACAUUGACAAGACAAUCACUGUCUGUUUCAACGCUAUCUAAAUCACCUUACUUUAAAUAAAGAUACUAUAAAUAUGCAAGCAUUCAUUCAAGUGAUUCAAGUGAUUCAACUUAGUCAUAACUCAGCUCAGUAACGUUUCAGCUAUAGGUAGUCUAAUAGUGAGCUAGAGUACUUAUAAAUGUAUUGUGCAAGUUUACGUUUCAUUUUUUAGCAUCUCAUGCGAGCACAUUUUUAUACAGUGUCAUAUA
RNA transcript from Halichondria panicea, 3656 nucleotides. It is a transcript of the gene named ras GTPase-activating protein 4-like, with no coding region annotated. Lineage: Eukaryota; Metazoa; Porifera; Demospongiae; Suberitida; Halichondriidae. The record is from RefSeq and is a predicted model, not a curated record. The transcript has 14 exons.